Molecule: long non-coding RNA, 5728 nt
Organism: Equus caballus (horse)
Lineage: Eukaryota; Metazoa; Chordata; Mammalia; Perissodactyla; Equidae
Source: Ensembl
AUCACUGGCCUAUCCAGCGUCUGCUCCCCAGCCAGGCCUGGCACCAGGUGCUCCAGGCACAAUCUCAGUCAGUCUUCCCAGCUGCUCCAGUGGUGGGGAUGGUUAUCAGCCCACUUUACAGAUGGGCAAAUAAGGAGAGACGCACUGCCUCCCCGAGGCCACAGGGCUAGACGGUGGCUGACCCGUCUGACCCGGGGACAGUGGGGUCCCCGCUCGGUAGCCCAUACAGCCUCCCAUUACCACCCCCACACCUGCCCCUGGAGACGCCCCCAAGACUAACAUGAAGAAUGGACUCCCUUCUCUUAGAACAUACAAGAAAGAUUGGUACUUCUCAAGUUGACAUUUUAUUUAAUCCAGGUGCCUCGGAGCAUACCCAGACUUCUCCCCAGGAAGAGAGACUGACAGCACGUCCGAGACCGGGGGCACAUUCAGCCUUUCCAGUCCUGCUUCCCAGCCUAAGCUCUGGUCUUGGAUCCUGCCCUGUUCCCAGACACUGAGAGAGGAAAGAAAGUCCUUCUAACUGGUCCCCGAGACUCGUGUCCCCAGCGGUCGUCCAUCGGGCUAUUCACUGUGUUCUGCUCCCCAGGCCUUCUGGAAGGACAGUGCUCCCUGUCCCCUUUAAUUAGAUGACUUACCCUGAACAAAAAAAAAAAGAGAUAAAUAAUGUGUGCCACAUCAGGGCAGAGGUAUUAAGAGGAAGUGCACAGUUUCCCACAUUUCUUUCCACGUCCCAGUGAUGAAGGAACCCAUGCUGAAAUGGGGCCUCUGUUAGCCCGGAUGCCUGAGUGACUAUGCAGAGUGGAGACCGCUGCCAACCUUCAUUGUGAGGAACACUACAUUCUUGUGUGGGUCUUGUCCAAUCAGUCGAAGGCCUGAAUGGAACGAAGCCCAACCUGCCUCCUGAGUCAGAGAGAAUUCUCCUGCCUGAAGCCCUGCAGACUGCAGCACCAGCUUUCUGGCUCUGCAGCAGCUUCCAGCCCUGGACAGAAGCUGCAAAGUUGGCUCUGCAGAGAACCCUAAUCCACCAUCUCUGACCGCACGCUGCCGGCCUCCAAGUUGGGGAAAGGCUGGAAAGAGGAGGAGGGAAGCCACCGAAGAGGCCGUCGGUGCUGGCCAAGGGGUUCCCACCAGGCCCCGUGGGUCCACCCUCCCCUCCCCCAGUGGCUGCCCUGGGUUUCUGCUGGGUCUCAGAUUCCUCCUAUGGGAACCGGGAAAUAUAAAGAGGUGACGUGGGCCGAGAGCCAGGUGCCUAGAGGGCCCCCAGCAACGACUGCUGCUUCCUCUGAAGCACAGGCUUGGGCUGCUGCUGGUUUUCUGGGCAGCGGCUGUUCUGUGCUUCCCAACAGAGAGGACAGCACCUUCCAGAGGGUCCUGAGCUGGGACUGAGGUGGGCUUGCGAGCUCUGGGCCGCUCCUUGGCCUCAAGCCUGGAGCUUUCACCCCCAUGGAGGGGAACACCCUUUGCGGGGGGCGGGGUGGGAGGUCAGGGCCUCCCUUGAACCUGGCUCCUGGUCACAUCCCGCACCAUCAGAUUGGGCUAUGGAAGGCAGGAGAGGAGCUUUCCUCUUGGAGCCACCAUUUCUCAGCUGUGUUGCUUUGGGUGCAUUACUUAGCCCCUCUGAGCCUCUGUUUUCUCAUCUGUAAAAUGGGGAUAAGCACACGGGCCUUGCAGGGUCACACAUUCUCCAUGUGUGAAGAAUCUGGGCAGUGCCCAGCACCAGGAGGCCUCAGUCCCCACGGAGCCCAGCCCUGAGCCCAUGGGCCCCCAGGAAAGCGGGAGUUAAACACUCAGCUGUCAGCCAGAGAGCAGGGAAGCCCUGCCGCUGGCUCAGUGCCGGGAACGGUAAGUGCGGCGUGAUUAUGUAAAGCGCAUAAGCGAUUUCCAGCGUAAUUAAGAUGGAUGGCUCCAAUAAUCCUGCAGGGCCCCAUUCCGAGCCGCAGUACCAGGCGUUCACAGGGAGUUUUCGUGCGCUUUGCUUCAGUGAGCACUGGGGCCCAUUAAAGAAAUGCGUGGAAGACCAGGUUCUCCAGCCAACUGCCCUGGACCGAAGGCAGCAGGAGCCUCAGCACAAAGCCCCAGGGGAACUCGGCAGAGCCCCCGUGUCCCAGGGGAGCCGUGGUAACCGCACCGUGCAGGACAGAGCCCUUCUCACGCUCCCUCUCAGACGCGGUCUCCAUGACCCAUACGCCCCUCUGCUGGACUGAAUUGUCCUGCUGCCCCCCUCGUAAGAGAGGAGAGCUCACAAAAGAAGAAACUGAGGUCCCCAGGGGUCGUGUGCCCUGUUCAAGAUCACCCAGCUCACCAAAGACAAGAUCAAAGUCAGACAAAGGGACCUAAAGGUGAUGGGGUUCAGUCUUCCCCCGUGGCAGAAGUCUCUUCUGUGGCACCCGGCCAGCCUUCCGUCCUGUCACGGCUUGAGGGUGAGGGUGCUGAGGAGUCCACUGCAAUAAUAUUGACUGCUGGCAGCCAGCGUAAUUAUUAUUAUUGCUAUUAUUAUUAUAUGCAGUGCUUACUAUGUGCUAGGCUCCGUGUCUAGCUCUUCAAAUUAACUAUUUUAAAUAAUCCCCACAAGGACUCUGUGAGACAGGCAUUGUCGGUGUCCCCAGAGGGGAAACGACGUGCCCGAGGCUGGUUAGGGAUGCGCUGAGACGCUGCCUGCAUCUCUCUGACCUGGAGCCCACAGGGGAGGCAGUCAGGAGGUUGUUCCUCAUGAAGAUACGAGUGGUCUGAAAUCUACCUAUCAGAGAACCGUGCUCCCUCACAGCAGGGGGUCCCCCUCUGCCCCUGCAGAGGCUCUCCUGACUCCAACAACUCUGGGGGCCUCCCACCCGCAUGCCCACCCCAGGGCCCAGCCCAAUCUCCCCAAGAAGGCGGGCUCCCAUAUCUUCCACCCUUCCUGAGAAGGCCUUAGUUCCUCACUGGGCCUCACUCUCCCCAUGGCUGCGCCAGCAAGAGGGCUGCCCGGGAUCGGGGCAGGACACUGCCCUGCACCCCAUACAGCACCCAUCCUCUGGGCCCUCCCUCUCCUCUCAGUGGUGGGAGUGCAGGCAGCACUGGCUCCAGGUCAGAGACCUGGGUCAGUGCCUUGCUCUGCCCAUCACUAACCGGGCAACCUUGGACGGGCCAUUCGAAGCUCCCUAAGCCUCGGUUUCUCCAUCUCUAAGAUGGACACAGAAGUGCCUACCACACACGGCUACCAGGAAGACUGAGGGCCAAGAUGUCUGCAAAGCUUGAUCACUGUCCACUGCCAGCCUCCCCAGCCCCAUGCCAGUUCUGCAAGGGGCUGAGGCAGGUGGGAGUGCAUGGGGGAAGGGGCCUGCUCUGAGGGGUUUGGCUCUUUGCCCCUGCAAAGCACCCCUGGGGCUGCAGACUUCAUCAAAAUGCCAGGAUGGGGAGAAACAGCGAGGAGGGGAAGAUUAAGCUGCAGAUGGUCAGUGCCUUGGAGCCUGAGUGGAUUGAUGGGGCCUCCUUGCUGCAGGAGGAGCCUUCCAGGACGGCUGCUCAGGCCUUGAGAGAGGCCUGAAGUCCAAGCCCCAGCUCCUGGGACUCUGCAGAGCCCACAGGGACAGACUGGGAGGGACCAGCUUUCCAUGACACCCCCCAAGCCCUCCCUCAGGACCAUGACCCACAGUGCCAUGGGGAACCUAAAGAGUGUUCCUCUUGGUCCUGGCCUCGGCCUCCUUGGGCCCCGGGCACACCAAGCCUCAGGCCACCUGACCUUACCCCGUGGCACUCGGACCAGAAACUGCCAGACACAGCCAGGCGUCCUUGCUGGGCACUGGGUGCCUCCUAGGGCCUUAAACACCCUCAAAUCUCCCCGGGCGGAGUCACCUGCUUGGUCUAACACUCCUGGGCUGCGUGGGGCUGUGUGCAGAGCAGGGUUCCGGCCGGGGCUCACAUGGCCUCACCUCUGUGAGGCCCCAGUAGAUCCCUUCCGCUCUCUGAGCCCCGCUUUCCACACAUAUAAAAUUAGGGUAGCGGCACCCACUCGCCUGAGCUUGCCCAUGCGGUGGGGCUCUGUCUGCGGAGCACACACCCAGACUUCCUUUCUUUUCCCAUCUCAGCCGCCCUCCGGCCGAGCCACAAGGCCCUGCGGGAGGGACAACACGGGACGAGACAGUGACCAGAGUCACCAACUGUCCCCAAAUAGUCCCUCCUUGGGUUUCCUGAGGACACGACAAUUACCGAGGCUGGAGCUUUGGGUGGGUUUAAAACCCUUUUAAGAUUCUAUAAGUGACUCUUGAUAACAAAAAUUAACAAGCUGGAAAAAUAAAACUGUUCACCCAGAGCGUGGAUCUCGGCAUCAGAGACAUCUAGGUUUUUCUCUGCUGUCAUCACUGUGCCCGUAGGAGUGACUCAGCUGGCGCCCAUCAUGUGGGGAUGCCCGCACCGCCUCACAUGUGGGCUGGGUGGCAAUCACCCCUGCUGGUUGCCAAGCUUCUCCACCUCUCCUCAGGGCGGGUCCUCAGCAGAAGCACUGUUUCUGGCCACUCUGUGAGGUGACAUCUUUGUAAGGUGACCAUAUCUUUGAGGUUGGGAGAGGCGCUGUGACUAGAUCUGCCCAUGACACGUGAGUGGAGGUGGCACCUGCUGCUUCCAGCUGGAGCCUGUCAGGACCCACACGAGACCAGCCCAGGGUCCCCUCUCCCUUUGGCAUGGUGCCUACAAGGUCCAAGAGGGGGUGCUCCAGCUGCCCGGAUCUCUGAGUGGCUCUGAUGAGCAGAGCCCUGGUCAACCCAUAAGGCUGAGUAACACAAAGGACAAGUCUUUGGGUUUCUUAGGCCACAGACAGGAGGGGAUGUGGCCAGGGCCGGAAACCUGCCUACAUGGACUGCUCGAAUUACUGUAAGGAUUAACUGUGACCAUGUGCAGAAAGCACCUGGCUCACAGCUGGUCUUGAAAUGACAACUGUGUCCCCAUGAAGCUUCAAAUUUGGAGGACAAAGUCCCUCCUUCCCCAGCAAGGAAGUCAAAUAUCCCCAGCAGAAAGGAUGCACACUCGUGCAUACUGAGAUGUCCGUGAGGGGGAGCAGAUCUUUCCCCCAAAGCCCUGUGGCUAGGAAGGCAUGAGAACACUGAGGCUGCAGGCUCAGAGCCCGGAGCAGCAGUGGGAAGAGGCACAGGGAGCAGGCAGCACACCCCCAUCCCCACCAUGGAGACCCCCAGCGCAGAGGCACCUUCUUCACCACUUCGCAGGACUUCAUAUCAGAAAACAAACCCACAGAGCUGAGGAAUCCCUGGAUCCAGCUUCCGAGAGGGAGCAUGAAGGGCAGCAGGGAGAGCUGGUCAUGAAGCCGGGAAGCGAGGAGCAGGAGCUGGCAGGCAGCAGCGUGCCACAACCAGCCCAGCCUCCCGCAGGGGAAGGCAGAGCCCUCGCAGCCACCUCUCCAGGGCUUUCCCCUGGAAUCCCCUCCAACUGGCUGCAGAGCCGGGGAUCCAGCCCUAAGGACAAGAACAACCAGCCUUACUGCACAACCGCUGGGGGCUCGACCCUGGGCUCCACGUUCCACAUCUACUACAGUCCACUCUUUGCCUUCCCAGCAAGUCCUGAGGGCACCAUCCGCACCUCCCCCGUGUGGAAGGCUCUUCAUUCUGUCAUCUCUGAGGAGCUCCUAGCACGGCCCUUGGCAAGCUGCUGGCACACCACAUAUGUCAUUUCCCAGACAUGUGGGAAAGGCCACAUGCUGCACGUGACACCCGGGGAGGCUGGGAAAACUCACCCAGCAGCC